Molecule: ribosomal RNA, 550 nt
Filed under: uncultured bacterium
Lineage: Bacteria
Description: bacterial SSU rRNA
Rfam family: Bacterial small subunit ribosomal RNA
Source: RNAcentral
UAGGGAAUCUUCGGCAAUGGACGGAAGUCUGACCGAGCAACGCCGCGUGAGUGAAGAAGGUUUUCGGAUCGUAAAGCUCUGUUGUAAGAGAAGAACGAGUGUGAGAGUGGAAAGUUCACACUGUGACGGUAUCUUACCAGAAAGGGACGGCUAACUACGUGCCAGCAGCCGCGGUAAUACGUAGGUCCCGAGCGUUAUCCGGAUUUAUUGGGCGUAAAGCGAGCGCAGGCGGUUAGAUAAGUCUGAAGUUAAAGGCUGUGGCUUAACCAUAGUACGCUUUGGAAACUGUUUAACUUGAGUGCAAGAGGGGAGAGUGGAAUUCCAUGUGUAGCGGUGAAAUGCGUAGAUAUAUGGAGGAACACCGGUGGCGAAAGCGGCUCUCUGGCUUGUAACUGACGCUGAGGCUCGAAAGCGUGGGGAGCAAACAGGAUUAGAUAUCCUGGUAGUCCACGCCGUAAACGAUGAGUGCUAGGUGUUAGACCCUUUCCGGGGUUUAGUGCCGUAGCUAACGCAUUAAGCACUCCGCCUGGGGAGUACGACCGCAAGGUUG